Molecule: ribosomal RNA, 372 nt
Filed under: uncultured organism
Description: bacterial SSU rRNA
Rfam family: Bacterial small subunit ribosomal RNA
Source: RNAcentral
CAGAGGGUGCAAGCGUUAAUCGGAAUUACUGGGCGUAAAGGGUGCGUAGGUGGUUAAUUAAGUCAGAUGUGAAAUCCCAAGGCUUAACCUUGGAAUGGCAUUUGAUACUGAUAAGCUAGAGUACAGAAGAGGGAAGUGGAAUUUCCGGUGUAGCGGUGAAAUGCGUAGAUAUCGGAAGGAACAUCAGUGGCGAAGGCGACUUCCUGGUCUGUUACUGACACUGAGGCACGAAAGCGUGGGGAGCGAACAGGAUUAGAUACCCUGGUAGUCCACGCCGUAAACGAUGAGAACUAGAUGUUAGGGGGCAUAGACCUUUUAGUAUCGUAGCAAACGUGUUAAGUUCUCCGCCUGGGGAGUACGGCCGCAAGGUUA